Molecule: long non-coding RNA, 1036 nt
Organism: Rhincodon typus (whale shark)
Lineage: Eukaryota; Metazoa; Chordata; Chondrichthyes; Orectolobiformes; Rhincodontidae
Exons: 3
Source: RefSeq, a predicted model, not a curated record
ACUGUCACCACUUAUAAAGACAAACAGAGGCAGACUGGGCAGGAGGCAGCAAUGCUGUGAAGUAAGGGCUCAAUUGCAAUUCUCCAGCAGCAGCACCGUGCUGUGCAUAAGUCAGCUCCCACUUACCGACAUGAAGAGACUUCUCCCCACGGCUGGACGGCGAGCUACAGAAAAGAGCAGGGAGAGAUUGAACCAGCUCACAGGCUCACGGAGCUGACUCCACGCAACCAGGAGGAGGUCCCUUGAUGCUCUCAGUAAAGGCCUCAAAGCUGUGUUGAAUGAACAAUGUGCAAUGGAAGAAUUUUCAGCCUCAUGAGGAUAGCUUGACUGAAGACGUAUGAGGUGCUGAAUCCAGAUUGGCUCACAUGGUUGCAGCCUCCAUCUAGAAUGUGAUUUUCAGGGAUAUAACUGGGCUUUGUGCUGAAAUAAGUCUUCAGUAGUUUAUACAAUGGAAAAAGACUCUAAGACCAUCAGACAUAGGAGCAAAAGUCGGCCAUUCAGCCCAUCAAGUCUCUUCGGUUAUUCAAUGAGAUUAUGACUGACCUAAUAAUUUUCAACUCCAUCUUGCUGCCUUUUCAUCAUAAUCCUUGAUUCAUUUAUGGUUGACCUUCAGCCAGUAGGAAACCGAUAGGUAACCCUUGUUUGUAAAAUUAAUUACUGCAGAACCUUACCUGUUAGAAAAGGAAGAUCUUGGUUUUGACUCCCAAAUUCAAUCUGGUAAAUUUGUCAGGUCAGAGGGAGAAGUGGUACAAUCAGCUUUAAGGACACUGGGUUAGGCUUUCAUUUUGAUUAGAUUCAGUGAUCACUGCUGUAACAUUUUCAUGUUAGAAGAGGACAGGAAUUGGUUUCAUUGUAAUCUGUCAAUGGUAAAACUGUCAGCCAUGCCUCCCUUUCAAAGUUAACAUCAGAAGAUUGACCUCUUAGGCUAAGUGCCAGAAGGAAAUCAUAAACUGGUCAGUACUUCAGCUAAUAGUAAACUUCCUUCUGGAGAAUACACAUUUUUUAAAGUUAUAUUACCAAACAACAAUUGUAGAAA